GUGGGGAAUUUUUCGCAAUGGGGGAAACCCUGACGAAGCAACGCCGCGUGGGGGAUGAAGGUCUUCGGAUCGUAAACCCCUGUCGACCGGGACGAAAGCAGUCUGACCCAAUACGUCGGGCUGUUGACUGUACCGGUGGAGGAAGCCACGGCUAACUCUGUGCCAGCAGCCGCGGUAAUACAGAGGUGGCAAGCGUUGUUCGGAAUUACUGGGCGUAAAGGGCGCGUAGGCGGCUGGGAAAGUUCUGUGUGAAAUCCCUCGGCUCAACUGAGGAACUGCACGGAAAACUGCCCGGCUUGAGUUCGGGAGAGGGAAGUGGAAUUCCGGGUGUAGCGGUGAAAUGCGUAGAUAUCCGGAGGAACACCGGUGGCGAAGGCGGCUUCCUGGACCGACACUGACGCUGAGGCGCGAAAGCUAGGGGAGCAAACGGGAUUAGAAACCCGAGUAGUCC
This 451-nucleotide ribosomal RNA is filed under the name uncultured bacterium. RNAcentral's name for it is "bacterial SSU rRNA". It matches the Rfam family "Bacterial small subunit ribosomal RNA", at positions 354 to 796 of the family's 1533-position model. The record is from RNAcentral.